UAUGUGAUCGUCUCUCGCAUAUCAAUAAGCGGAGGAAAAGAAACUAACAAGGAUUCCCCUAGUAACGGCGAGUGAAGCGAGAAGAGCUCAAAUUUGAAAUCUUAAAGGGUUUCCCUUUACGAAUUGUAGUUUAAAGAAGUGUUUCCUGUUGAGGUUUUGGUAAAAGUUCUUUGGAAUAGGACAUCAUAGAGGGUGAGAAUCCCGUAUUUGACCUUUACUUUCAACUUUGUGAUACACUUUCAAAGAGUCGGAUUGUUUGGGAAUGCAGUCCAAAAUGGGUGGUAAAUUUCAUCUAAAGCUAAAUAUUGGCGAGAGACCGAUAGCGAACAAGUACCGUGAGGGAAAGAUGAAAAGAACUUUGAAAAGAGAGUUAAACAGUACGUGAAAUUGUCAAAAGGGAAGCGUUUGACACCAGUGUUGUUUUUCUGAAAAUCAAUUAAAGAACUGUUUAUGCUAAGUUGUUUAGACUUUAUCAGCUAACUGUUUAGUUUUGAGCUUUUCUUUAAUGCACUUUUCAGUUAACAAGUCAACAUCAAUUUCUUUUGCUGUAAAAAAGCUUGAGGAAGGUGGCUUGAGAUUCGUCUUAAGUGUUUAUAGCCUCUUGCCUAUGCAGUCGGAGAGAUUGAGGUCUGCAGCGUAGAUCCUUCGGGGCUAAAUGCAUUUGUGCUAAGUUAUAGCAUUUUAUAGACAACUUGUUGACUAUGAUUUGUCUUGUAGCUUACUCGCUUAUGUUAUUUUACCUACGCUUAGGAUGUUGAAGAUAUGCGCGACACG
Molecule: ribosomal RNA, 774 nt
Filed under: uncultured Neocallimastigales
Lineage: Eukaryota; Fungi; Neocallimastigomycota; Neocallimastigomycetes; Neocallimastigales
Description: partial large subunit ribosomal RNA
Rfam family: Eukaryotic large subunit ribosomal RNA
Source: RNAcentral